GAAUUCAUUUCAAGUAUGUUGAGAAGAAAACGACCCAUCUCUGAAAAAAUCACCUCACCCAAGAAAAUACGACUCAUUCAUGAGAAUGAAAGUGCAAAGUCUCCCAAGAAAUUGUCUUGUAAUAUAGCAUGUGAAUAAACAAUUUUUUGAAAUA
Long non-coding RNA from Haliotis rufescens (red abalone), 154 nucleotides. RefSeq lists it as uncharacterized. The record is from RefSeq and is a predicted model, not a curated record. Lineage: Eukaryota; Metazoa; Mollusca; Gastropoda; Lepetellida; Haliotidae. The transcript is spliced from 2 exons.